RNAcentral lists this ribosomal RNA (443 nucleotides) under uncultured bacterium. Its description in RNAcentral is "partial 16S ribosomal RNA". It matches the Rfam family "Bacterial small subunit ribosomal RNA", at positions 338 to 795 of the family's 1533-position model. The record is from RNAcentral.
CCUACGGGUGGCAGCAGUGGGGAAUAUUGGGCAAUGGGCGCAAGCCUGACCCAGCAACGCCGCGUGAAGGAAGAAGGCUUUCGGGUUGUAAACUUCUUUUCUCAGGGACGAAGAAAGUGACGGUACCUGAGGAAUAAGCCACGGCUAACCACGUGCCAGCAGCCGCGGUAAUACGUAGGUGGCAAGCGUUAUCCGUAUUUAUGGGGUGUAAAGGGCGUGUAGGCGGGAGCGCAAGUCAGAUGGUAAAGUUCAGGGCUCAAACCUGAGCCUGCAUUUGAAACUGUGUUUCUUGAGUGCUGGAGAGGCAGGCGGAAUUCCGGGUGUAGCGGUGAAAUGCGGAGAUAUACGGAGGAACACCAGUGGCGAAGGCGGAGUGCUGGACAGUAACUGACGCUGAGGCGCGAAAGCGUGGGGAGCAAACAGGAGUAGAUACCCUUGUAGUC